This is a long non-coding RNA of Dreissena polymorpha, 3828 nucleotides long. RefSeq lists it as uncharacterized. The record is from RefSeq and is a predicted model, not a curated record. Lineage: Eukaryota; Metazoa; Mollusca; Bivalvia; Myida; Dreissenidae. The transcript has 6 exons.
AUACUGUCAAGUAUUCGAAUAGCCGAGCGUGCUGUCCUCUGACAGCUCUUGUUUGUGUAGAGGUCUAUUGAAAACUGAUAAAAUUCCGGGAUUUUUUAGAUUUUCCGGUUCCUACAGGACCCCAUACAAUCACACAUCUGUACACAUCUGAACAACAACAGGCUCUCUGGCCAGUUGGGCCCCCACAUCCAAAAACAAUUCCUGGGUAUAGGCGUCGAGCUUUUGGGUCAGGAAUUUUGGGCAAAGCUCAUACCCCUAGGGUACAGCCAGUCUAACCAUGGGACUCCAAACUUCCCUGCUCAGGGGCCAAGACUACCUCAUCUACAAGGGACCUUAUGCUCACAAGUUCAGUCCCAGAGAACCAUGUUACCCAACUGCGACACAGGCAAUACAUCUCAACAGGUUGAGGAUCACCCAAAACCACUCGGUGCCAAGCAAUGAAAUUAUCAGCUGCCACCUUGACCUGACUAUUGUACACACCUGGGAGUCAGGUUUAAGGUCACAUCAGCUUAAAUGUUCACGGCAGUAAGAAAAUGUAAGAUCUUAAAGGGACUUGUUCACAAAUUGUGUGGUUAACAAGAUGACUGAACAACAUGGCAUCAAUGGCAGGGAAGAAGUGAUCAGGGGGGGGUAAUCACGUGCAAGUCAAGAUGGCGACGUCCAUGCCAAGACUGAAAACCCUGAUUGCAAAGCGUAGAGUCUGCUCGGGAAGCAUUUGCACACAAGGCACAAACAUCAGCUGCAAUAAUCGUCUCGAUAUUCUGUCAUCGCCAUGUUGCAUGACCCUCAGUCUAUGAACAUAGAGAACCUUGGACACCCAUGGAAGAAAGAAAACUGGCCAAUCAGAAUUACAGCCUGUUGCAGCAGUUGUUACCAUAUUUUCCUCAGUCAAACCUGAGAAGCUCAGAGAUAUAUACUGUUUAAGAUGUGCUAGACUCUACAUACCUCCUGGUAUGUUCAGCACUUACUCUGACAGGUUUUAUCUUUGAAUUUUGUGACGAAUGGAAAAUAAAUGAGCUUGUUCACAUCGAAAUGGCAGAAUGACAUAUCACAACAAUUGAAGUGGAAAGCCAGAAAGUCAUGUGGACAGCCACGUUUUGUAUGUGACCAUCCAAGUUGUAUUCAAAGGAAAACACAAGUAUAUGUUUUAUGGGAAUUAUGAUACUGUCAGUCAUUUUAUGUUAAAAGUUUUGGUGAAAUAUAGUAUGUACAUUAUUAUCAUAAGCACACAUAUAACAAGUCUAUCCAAUGUCUUUGUCUGUAUUAUGAAACUUUCACUACAGACUUUGAUCCUGAUAAUGAUAACAUUUUAUUUUAAGAUUGUCAAAGCUGUUUAAAUGAUGGUGGUAAAUUGGAUAAAAUUGAGAAAAUAUUUAAGUAUUUUCCUGUAAUGAAACAUGUUCAUGUUUUCUGUUUUUACCAGUAAUAUAGAUGUGCUACUUAAACAAAUUCUUCAGAAAGGCUGAGAGUUAUGAAAUAUCGGAAUUGUCUGUCUAUCAAUCUUUCUGAAACAAUAUAAGUCGAUUGGCUCACCCGGGUCAGUAUUCGAUCAAGAAUCUUGUUUAGUAGCAUAAUAUUUCAUGGGAAUACAUGUAUAAAUAAAUUCUGGGAAAAAUCAUUUAAUCUACCUAACAUUAUUGAUUCCGUAUUUACUACCAGUACUUGGUUGAUUUCAAUGGCUGCAGUUUGUUAAAUGAUUAGAGUAUGACUCUUGUGUUAUUGGGAAAGCUUUUUAUGUAAAUGAGAAUUAAACAAAUAUGAAAGUAUUUUAUGAAAAAUGGCAAAAGUUAUGAUUGUUAAAUUGUGUUGUUAUAUCAUAGACUUACAUGCUGGUAAGUUUUCAAGUUUGUUUUUGGACAUAACAGUUUAUUAUGCCAUAUAUUUGUAUAUGCGCAUUGAGACAACCCUCUUAAAUCAGUGAGUACAUCUGUAUCUUAACCAAGAUUUCUGAUCACUGUAUAUAGGUAUAUUUUGCCAUGUAUACUGCGAAGCAAUUGUAUGUUCAGUAUAAACUGUUUAUUUAAUGUUGCCAUUUUUAUAAGAUAAACUCACUGUUUACAUUUAUUUGUACAAACAAUUGUUCUAAAACAACAUUUCUUGUGUAAAUGCUCAUAUACAUAUUAAACUGUUUAAAUAAUGCAGCAUGACAUAUUUUGAAGAGAAAAAGAUAGUUAAGGCAAUAUAAACACCUUGUUAUAUGCAAUGUUUUUCAUUGAAUGAAUUUUAGCAACUAUUUAAAAUGUAUUUUUUUUUACAUAAACUAAAGAAAAAAUAAUACCUUGAAAUUUGAAAUCAGUCAAUUAAAAUUAAGGGAGAGUGAUGUCAUAUGCUAACAAUUGCCAAGAAUUGCAAUGGCCUCUAUUGGCAAUAUAAGCGAGUACUAUUAUUUGCAAAAGAUAUCUAUUUUGUUAGAUAAUAACUGUGUUUUACAACUCGACAUAACAAGUAAAUACAUUUCUAAUUGUUUCGCACUAUAUACUCGGCUAUAGGUGAAUGUCUAAAAGGAUUUUGUGGAAUAAACACUUUAGAAAAUAUAUGCUUGUUUCAGGAAGUAAUAGUUUAGGUAAAAUGUGAUACUUAUUGUUCCAUAAACACCAAGUGUAAUAACAAAAUGCAUCAGUAAUGACAUUAUUUGAAAAAUUACAUUUGCAUGAUCACACAAUGUGUAAAGUUGUGUAAAUGUGACGCUUAUGACUUGUGUAUAUUUCAACAAUAAUAUUAUACUUGUAUUUAAAGUACUUGAUAAGUAUUGACGUAGAUCUAUUGCUAUUAGAGAAUUGUAUCAUUUAACUAGUUUUGUUACAGUUUGUGUAACCUUGACCAGUCAACAUAGCUGUCAGUGGAGUGAAUUCACUGGGGUUCAAUUUCCGUAAUUCUCCUAGUUUAAAACUUCAGCAUACACGUUUGUCUUAAAUCCAGAUUUCCCUAAAAUUGUGGUUGUUUAUAUUGAACUUUUAUUGAAUGCAUGUGACAUGUUUGUUCUUUUGUUGAACGACUGAAAAUAACUUUAUAUGUAUAAAUUGUGUGUCAUGUUUAGAUAUUGUCAUGUUUAGAUAAAUCAAAUUGAUAAAUAGAAAACAAAAUACAAAAUUUGCAAUAAUUUGUAUGCAUGCUUAGCCCCCAAAAAUGUUAUCAUACAAGCUUAUUGGUAUUGGACUAUGUUUGUACUUUAAGAUGAAAUGUUUCAAUCAUGUGUGAUUUUUAUCAUUUACGUUAAAUAAACAUUUUCCAUUAGUAGAUAUAGGGUGUAUAAACUCUUAUGUAGACUUCUUUUUAAUUGCUUUUGUAAAUAUCUUCAAUAUUUGACAUAACUGUUAAGGGUAUUUUUAGUUCGUUUGUUUUCGGAAAAAAAAGGAGGUAUUGUCAUAGCCAGCUCGUUGUGUCGUCCGACGUCGGCGUCGUGCUAAAACCUUUAAAUUUGAUCUAAAAUUAAAGUGCUUCCACCUAAAACUUUGAAACUUCAUAUGUGGAUGCACAUUGAUGAGUUCUACACGCCACACCUAUUUAUCGGUCACUAGGUCAAAGGUCAAGGUUGCAGUGACCUCUUAAAAAAACUAAUUCGUACAAGCUUUCAUUCAUUCAAAACUGCACCCGCAUCCGAGCGUGGCACCCCUUAUUGGGUGCUCUUGUUAUAGUAAACAUGUACAUGUUUCUCUAAACUGUAAACGGGUGUCUGUUUAAGUUAUUGUGAUUUGUUAAUUUUGUAUUGCUAAUUAAAUGAAAUAUUGUGUAUAGUCUCGCAUUGUUGUUGUUAUAAGACAAAGCACAUUCCAUUACUCAUGUUUAUUUUCAUGUUUAUUUUCGUCCACUAUUUCUAUAACCAGUGUU